Molecule: small RNA, 117 nt
Filed under: Macaca mulatta (Rhesus monkey)
Lineage: Eukaryota; Metazoa; Chordata; Mammalia; Primates; Cercopithecidae
Description: Metazoan signal recognition particle RNA (ENSMMUG00000059345.1)
Source: Rfam by way of RNAcentral
GCUGGGUGUGGUAGUGUGCGCCUGUAAUCCCAGCACUUUGGGAGGCCAAGAUGGGGGGAUCACUUGAGCCCAGGAGUUCCAGGCCAACCAGGGCAACAUAGUGAGACCUCAUCUUUU